This 400-nucleotide ribosomal RNA is filed under the name phytoplankton environmental sample. Its description in RNAcentral is "partial small subunit ribosomal RNA". It matches the Rfam family "Eukaryotic small subunit ribosomal RNA", at positions 587 to 983 of the family's 1831-position model. The record is from RNAcentral.
AGCUCCAAGAGCGUAUAUUAAAGUUGUUGCAGUUAAAAAGCUCGUAGUUGGAUUUCUGGUAUAAUGCGCCUGGCCCGCGACCGUUAGGUCUGUGAGUGCCGGUGCGCGUUUGCCAUCCUUCUAGAAAACGUUUCUACCCUUCGCUGGGCCGGACUCGCGAUCUAGAUCUUUUACUUUGAAAAAAUUAGAGUGUUUAAAGCAGGCUUUUGCUAUGAAUACAUUAGCAUGGAAUAAUAAUCUAGGACUUCGGUUCUAUUUUGUUGGUUUCUAGUACUGAAGUAAUGAUUGAUAGGGAUAGUUGGGGGUGCUAGUAUUGGCCGGCCAGAGGUGAAAUUCUUGGAUUCGGUCAAGACUAACUUAUGCGAAAGCAUUCACCAAGGAUGUCUUCUUUAAUCAAGAA